GUGGGGAAUAUUAGGCAAUGGGCGAAAGCCUGACCUAGCAACGCCGCGUGAAGGAAGAAGGCCUUCGGGUUGUAAACUUCUUUUAUGAGGGACGAAGGACGUGACGGUACCUCAUGAAUAAGCCACGGCUAACUACGUGCCAGCAGCCGCGGUAAUACGUAGGUGGCGAGCGUUGUCCGGAUUUACUGGGUGUAAAGGGCGCGUAGGCGGACUGGCAAGUCAGAUGUGAAAUACAGGGGCGCAACCACUGAACUGCAUUUGAAACUGUUGGUCUUGAGUAUCGGAGAGGCAAGCAGAAUUCCUAGUGUAGCGGUGAAAUGCGUAGAUAUUAGGAGGAACACCAGUGGCGAAGGCGGCUUGCUGGACGACAACUGACGCUGAGGCGCGAAAGCGUGGGGAGCAAACAGGAUUAGAAACCCGGGUAGUCC
Molecule: ribosomal RNA, 428 nt
Filed under: uncultured bacterium
Lineage: Bacteria
Description: partial 16S ribosomal RNA
Rfam family: Bacterial small subunit ribosomal RNA
Source: RNAcentral